UUAGUUUUAUCGGGGACCACUGGGUUGGU
RNAcentral lists this ribosomal RNA (29 nucleotides) under Rotylenchulus reniformis. RNAcentral describes it as "partial 5.8S ribosomal RNA". The record is from RNAcentral. Lineage: Eukaryota; Metazoa; Nematoda; Chromadorea; Rhabditida; Hoplolaimidae.